CAUAAUGAGAACUGAAUCCCAGGAUCCUGGACACAAAGGAACUUGCUGUAUAAAAAGAAACACUUCUCCCAAAAGAAGACAACCAACCAUGAGGAAGGCAUGUUGUCGUCCACUGCAGUUUGAGCUCCAUUGCCUUCCUUCAGUAUACCCAGGAGAUAAUCUUUCUAUUCUGGCCAAUCUAAUAAUAUUGCUCAAAAGAUGUUAUCCUACCUUGACAUUCUUGCUGUGCCAGGAGUGUAAACCUUGACUUCUACAUAGUGGGCGUGUUGUGAUAUCAGCAGAUGGAGCAGAGUCGUGCCCUGUGAGUACCACUACGCUUUCCACUGCAGUAAGCGCUGAUUGGUUACGGGAACCACUUCAGCCAUCCGGCAGUUACUUAAAAGCAUCCCACGUAAAGCCAUUCUAAAGCUGAUGUAAAAAGGACCAAACCGUGAACCAUCCAGGUCAGAGGAAGCAAGGCCAGGCUACACUAACUCAAAGGCCAACCACCCACUCUCGCUUCUAUGGCAUUUUGUGGCCUUUGGUGUUUCGGACAAGUCUGCACUUAGAAGAGUUUUAAAGGACGUGACUUGUGGGUUAAAUUAUUUGAAAGGAGAAGCUAGAAGGUUUCAUAUCUUUCUAUUUUACUUGCACUUUUAAUCCAAAUAGCUACAAAAGCCUUUCUGAAAUCCAGGGUACCUUUGUGACAAGUUACUUGUGGAGAAUAAA
Molecule: non-coding RNA, 708 nt
Organism: Myodes glareolus (Bank vole)
Lineage: Eukaryota; Metazoa; Chordata; Mammalia; Rodentia; Cricetidae
Source: RefSeq, a predicted model, not a curated record